GGCUGGGGACCCCAGAGCCCUGAUGCGUAUCUGAGUUUGAGUAGAACCUCAGCAGAUACCGGGGAGGGCACCAUGGCCUCUGCUGGAACCAGUAUGUUUGGUAGCUGCCCACACUGAACCCAGUGCUGAAGGUGCAGGCCUGGAGCACUGUGUGACCUUUCAGACUGCUGUCCCACAAUGAACAGUAAUAAUCUGCCUCAUCCUCAGCCUGGAGCCCAGUGAUGGUCAGGGUGGCUGAGCUGCCAGAACUGGAGCCAGAAAAUCGAUCCGGGAUCCCCCAUGCAUGUCCAGAGAGAGCAAGUGCUCCUUCCACCACCCAUGAGCAGAGCAUGGAAUUUCUCUUACCCAAGGCCACCUGGACCCAGAGGAUUCUGUUAAAGUUCCCACAGAUAUCGACCGAGCCUGGUGGGAAGUGAGAAUUACACUCCGGGUAUGAGAGCAGGAAGCAGAUGAUGAAAGAAUUUCAUGCUGGUGCAAUUUCUUCUACUUGUCCUCCUUAGAGGAAGACCCUGGACACUAGAAGUGACAACAAGAACACUGUAAUUUUCUUUGAAAUCCCAAUGUGGAGACUGUUCAGACCUGAAGAGCCAGAGAAAGACUGAAGACCUGGGGGAGGUGGAAACAGAGAAGAACAGGGUGAUUGUGGAGGGCGGAUGAUGUCAGUGUGUGUGAAGAAGUUGUGACUAUUUGUAGCUGGUUCAGAGAAAGAGAAAAUUGUGUCUGUGACCAGGGAGGUGUUAACAUAUGGACUCUAAACAUACAAUUUUAGACCAGGACUGUGACAGCAGAACACUCAAUGUGAGUAUAAAGGUGAAGUAACAGAAGGGAGAGACUGAGGUUAAUUGCUUCUAAAGUGUUUAUUCCUUUUCAUUUAUCCCAGAGCCUAGGGCAUGUGCAGUUGGGCUCUAUCUCCUCACUUGGGUGUGUUCUUGGGAAACCUGUGCUGGCUCAGGCAACAGCAUUGUCUUUGUGUCACUCCUCCCUCCUCAAGGACAGGUCUCCCUACAGGGGACUAUCUCCCCUACAGGAGCCUGCACAGAAGCUUCUCAAUACAAGAGGCUCAGAGACAAGGUCUCUGGUUCCAGGUCUCACUUCCCUGUGAUCUGAGACAUUGUGAGGAAUGGUAGCUGCUCCCAAUGCCAUGACCUGUAGCUCAGAAAUAGUCAGCCUUGUCCUCAGCCUGCAACUGCCAGUUGAGCAGAAGCCCUGCAUUGGCCGAGGCAUCUUUGGAGCCACAGAAGCAGCUGGAGACCCCGGAGCCCUGGUGCAUAUCUGAGUCUGAGUAGAACCUCAGCAGAUACCAGGGAGGGCUCCCUGGCUUCUGCUGGAACCAGUAUGUUUGGUAGCUGCCCACACUGAACCCAGUGCUGAAGGUUCAGGUGAGUCUGGCAGAUGAUCCCAGAGGUGCAGAGAGGGAGGGCGGCUGGGUCAGCACAGGCUGGGACACGGACCUGGAAACACAGACGCUCAUGGGUGAUGGACAGGUGUCUGAGUAACACUUUCAAUAUCUGAGCCCGAGGGACUGAUGGAGCCUGAGAACGAGGACCCACUACCCAAGUCCUGGUCCUACAUUUACCUUGAUAGAGGAGCAUAAGGGCAGGAGUUCUGGCCUCUUGACCCAGCCCCUACUCCACACAAAUGGCCGGGCUGCCCCCGGCCUGCUUUUCUCCUCCACCCUCUGCCACUGGACGGACUGUCUCUGCAAAUGGGCUCCACCCAGUGACUUCCCAGCCUCUCCCUGAGCCCUGGUGCUGGAGCUCAGCUCACACCACACACUGAGGAGGAUGAGGGUUGGCUUCAGCCCUGGGGAUAGCCCUGGGAGGAAACACCUGCUGAGACCACACAGGACCCUGCUCAGCGGACUCUACCAGG
This is a long non-coding RNA of Ailuropoda melanoleuca (giant panda), 1872 nucleotides long. RefSeq lists it as uncharacterized. The transcript is spliced from 4 exons. The record is from RefSeq and is a predicted model, not a curated record. Lineage: Eukaryota; Metazoa; Chordata; Mammalia; Carnivora; Ursidae.